RNAcentral lists this ribosomal RNA (216 nucleotides) under Triticum aestivum (bread wheat). Its description in RNAcentral is "partial small subunit ribosomal RNA". Lineage: Eukaryota; Viridiplantae; Streptophyta; Magnoliopsida; Poales; Poaceae. The record is from RNAcentral.
AUGAAGCUAAUCACAUGGUAAUGCCAAUGAUCGGGGAAUGGCCCGACAAGUAGUGGCCUUUUGGACGUCUAGAAGGAGGAGGACUCCGAAGUGUUGUUUUUAUCAGAGACGAAGAUGGUGCGUGGCAAGAUCAAGUGGUUAAGAUGGAAGCUAGGCAUGUCACAGAUGAUGGUAAAGGACUGGUGUGGGAACAAUGGUGGAUUGGCAAUGUUCUAG